Molecule: ribosomal RNA, 575 nt
Filed under: uncultured bacterium
Lineage: Bacteria
Description: bacterial SSU rRNA
Rfam family: Bacterial small subunit ribosomal RNA
Source: RNAcentral
CUGGCGGCGUGCCUAACACAUGCAAGUCGAACGAGAAAGUGGAGCAAUCCAUGAGUACAGUGGCGACCGGGUGAGUAACACGUGACCAACCUGCCCUCGAGUGGGGAAUAACUCCGGGAAACCGGAGCUAAUACCGCAUAACAUCGCAAGAUCAAAGCCGCAAGGCGCUUGGGGAGGGGGUCGCGGCUGAUUAGCUAGUUGGUAGGGUAAUGGCCUACCAAGGCGAAGAUCGGUAGCCGGCCUGAGAGGGCGCACGGCCACACUGGAACUGAAACACGGUCCAGACUCCUACGGGAGGCAGCAGUGGGGAAUUUUGCGCAAUGGGGGAAACCCUGACGCAGCAACGCCGCGUGGAGGAUGAAGUCCCUUGGGACGUAAACUCCUUUCGACCGGGACGACACUGACGGUACCGGAAGAAGAAGCACCGGCUAACUCUGUGCCAGCAGCCGCGGUAAUACAGAGGGUGCGAGCGUUGUUCGGAAUUAUUGGGCGUAAAGGGCGCGUAGGCGGCGCGGUAAGUCACCUGUGAAAUCUCCUGGCUCAACUGGGAGCUUGCAGGCGAAACUGCCGUGCUG